Molecule: non-coding RNA, 90 nt
Filed under: unclassified sequences
Description: L2-Alphaproteobacteria ribosomal protein leader
Rfam family: L2-Alphaproteobacteria ribosomal protein leader
Source: RNAcentral
GGUCACCCGUGAACCACGGGGGGCUUAACAUCAAGGGCGAUGAUUGCGGGUAAACUCGCAGCAACGCUCAAGCUAAACGGAAGACAGAAA